UACGUAGGGGGCAAGCGUUGUCCGGAAUCAUUGGGCGUAAAGCGCGUGUAGGCGGUUCGAUUAGUCUGCUGUGAAAGUCCAGGGCUCAACCCUGGGAUGCCGGUGGAUACUGUCGGACUAGAGUACGGAAGAGGCGAGUGGAAUUCCCGGUGUAGCGGUGAAAUGCGCAGAUAUCAGGAGGAACACCUAUUGCGAAGGCAGCUCGCUGGGACGUAACUGACGCUGAGACGCGAAAGCGUGGGGAGCAAACAGG
This 253-nucleotide ribosomal RNA is filed under the name uncultured bacterium. RNAcentral's name for it is "partial 16S ribosomal RNA". It matches the Rfam family "Bacterial small subunit ribosomal RNA", at positions 524 to 776 of the family's 1533-position model. The record is from RNAcentral.